AGCUUGCUGGUGGAUUAAUGGCGAACGGGUGAGUAACACGUGAGUAACCUGCCCUUGACUCUGGGAUAAGCCUGGGAAACUGGGUCUAAUACCGGAUAUGACCUUCCAUCGCAUGGUGGUUGGUGGAAAGCUUUUGUGGUUUUGGAUGGACUCGCGGCCUAUCAGCUUGUUGGUGGGGUAAUGGCCUACCAAGGCGACGACGGGUAGCCGGCCUGAGAGGGUGACCGGCCACACUGGGACUGAGACACGGCCCAGAAUCCUACGGGAGGCAGCAGUGGGGAAUAUUGCACAAUGGGCGCAAGCCUGAUGCAGCGACGCCGCGUGAGGGAUGACGGCCUUCGGGUUGUAAACCUCUUUCAGUAGGGAAGAAGCGUAAGUGACGGUACCUGCAGAAGAAGCGCCGGCUAACUACGUGCCAGCAGCCGCGGUAAUACGUAGGGCGCAAGCGUUAUCCGGAAUUAUUGGGCGUAAAGAGCUCGUAGGCGGUUUGUCGCGUCUGCCGUGAAAGUCCGGGGCUCAACUCCGGAUCUGCGGUGGGUACGGGCAGACUAGAGUGAUGUAGGGGAGACUGGAAUUCCUGGUGUAGCGGUGAAAUGCGCAGAUAUCAGGAGGAACACCGAUGGCGAAGGCAGGUCUCUGGGCAUUAACUGACGCUGAGGAGCGAAAGCAUGGGGAGCGAACAGGAUUAGAUACCCUGGUAGUCCAUGCCGUAAACGUUGGGCACUAGGUGUGGGGGACAUUCCACGUUUUCCGCGCCGUAGCUAACGCAUUAAGUGCCCCGCCUGGGGAGUACGGCCGCAAGGCUAAAACUCAAAGGAAUUGACGGGGGCCCGCACAAGCGGCGGAGCAUGCGGAUUAAUUCGAUGCAACGCGAAGAACCUUACCAAGGCUUGACAUGGACCGGAUCGCCGCAGAAAUGUGGUUUCCCCUUUGGGGCUGGUUUACAGGUGGUGCAUGGUUGUCGUCAGCUCGUGUCGUGAGAUGUUGGGUUAAGUCCCGCAACGAGCGCAACCCUCGUUCUAUGUUGCCAGCACGUGAUGGUGGGGACUCAUAGGAGACUGCCGGGGUCAACUCGGAGGAAGGUGGGGACGACGUCAAAUCAUCAUGCCCCUUAUGUCUUGGGCUUCACGCAUGCUACAAUGGCCGGUACAAAGGGUUGCGAUACUGUGAGGUGGAGCUAAUCCCAAAAAGCCGGUCUCAGUUCGGAUUGGGGUCUGCAACUCGACCCCAUGAAGUCGGAGUCGCUAGUAAUCGCAGAUCAGCAACGCUGCGGUGAAUACGUUCCCGGGCCUUGUACACACCGCCCGUCAAGUCACGAAAGUUGGUAACACCCGAAGCCGGUGGCCUA
This 1348-nucleotide ribosomal RNA is filed under the name Arthrobacter sp. 0714P1-2. Its description in RNAcentral is "16S ribosomal RNA". It matches the Rfam family "Bacterial small subunit ribosomal RNA", at positions 77 to 1437 of the family's 1533-position model. The record is from RNAcentral. Lineage: Bacteria; Bacillati; Actinomycetota; Actinomycetes; Micrococcales; Micrococcaceae.